RNAcentral lists this long non-coding RNA (330 nucleotides) under Vicia faba (fava bean). The record is from RNAcentral. Lineage: Eukaryota; Viridiplantae; Streptophyta; Magnoliopsida; Fabales; Fabaceae.
AUGACCUUUCCGAUCUACUUAGUCCAUCGUCCGAUCGAUGCAUUCUCCUCUUGGCGUAGUGAUCCUUCCUCUCCUUCGUUUCAACAUUACAAAGUAUCUUCUUCAUCUCAGCGACGCUCUUUUUCAUUUGAAACUAGUAUCGCCGCCGUUCGCUUCAGUGGCGAGUUCCCCUUCGCCGGCUUGCUUCAAUUGCGGUUCCGCCAUGGUCUCAGUUUCGAGUUUCACUUCAACCUUCAAUUUGUCGAUGAUGAGAAACACGUAACCACUGGCGGUUUCUUGUCCAUUCCUCUUUUACUUCUUCAUUUGAUUUCUGCUGUGUUGCGGAUGUAG